AUGACUAUUUUGCUCAUGGGUUUCAUUCACUUUCUGUAAUAAAACAUCUAAAAGCAAAAAUUCUAUCAGGUAGGGGACCCUGGGACAAAAUCUUAUCAGAUGGGGGUCCAUGGUCUAAUUUAUGUCAGUUUAGGGAUCCAUUUUUGUGAUACUU
This is a long non-coding RNA of Sander lucioperca (pikeperch), 154 nucleotides long. RefSeq lists it as uncharacterized. The record is from RefSeq and is a predicted model, not a curated record. The transcript has 3 exons. NCBI's taxonomy places the organism in Eukaryota, Metazoa, Chordata, Actinopteri, Perciformes, Percidae.